UGCAUAUCAAUAAGCGGAGGAAAAGAAACUAACAAGGAUUCCCCUAGUAGCGGCGAGCGAAGCGGGAAGAGCUCAAAUUUAUAAUCUGGCACCUUCGGUGUCCGAGUUGUAAUCUCUAGAAAUGUUUUCCGCGUUGGACCGCACACAAGUCUGUUGGAAUACAGCGGCAUAGUGGUGAGACCCCCGUAUAUGGUGCGGACGCCCAGCGCUUUGUGAUACAUUUUCGAAGAGUCGAGUUGUUUGGGAAUGCAGCUCAAAUUGGGUGGUAAAUUCCAUCUAAAGCUAAAUAUUGGCGAGAGACCGAUAGCGAACAAGUACCGUGAGGGAAAGAUGAAAAGCACUUUGGAAAGAGAGUUAACAGUACGUGAAAUUGUUGGAAGGGAAACGCUUGAAGUCAGACUUGCUUGCCGAGCAAUCGGUUUGCAGGCCAGCAUCAGUUUUCCGGGAUGGAUAAUGGUAGAGAGAAGGUAGCAGUUUCGGCUGUGUUAUAGCUCUCUGCUGGAUACAUCUUGGGGGACUGAGGAACGCAGUGUGCCUUUGGCGGGGGUUUCGACCUCUUCACACUUAGGAUGCUGGUGGAAUGGCUUUAAACGACCCGUCUUGAAACACGG
RNAcentral lists this ribosomal RNA (611 nucleotides) under Rhodotorula mucilaginosa. Its description in RNAcentral is "eukaryotic LSU rRNA". It matches the Rfam family "Eukaryotic large subunit ribosomal RNA", at positions 37 to 664 of the family's 3401-position model. The record is from RNAcentral. Lineage: Eukaryota; Fungi; Basidiomycota; Microbotryomycetes; Sporidiobolales; Sporidiobolaceae.